This 85-nucleotide transfer RNA is filed under the name Ornithodoros savignyi. RNAcentral describes it as "tRNA-His". Lineage: Eukaryota; Metazoa; Arthropoda; Arachnida; Ixodida; Argasidae. The record is from RNAcentral.
UUUUGCUUAAUUAGUUUAUUUAAAGCGUUAAAUUGUGGGUUUAAAGAAGUUAUUGCAUUAGGCAAUUUUUUAUCAGUGGGGUUUG